This 364-nucleotide ribosomal RNA is filed under the name uncultured Mycobacterium sp. RNAcentral describes it as "bacterial SSU rRNA". It matches the Rfam family "Bacterial small subunit ribosomal RNA", at positions 524 to 884 of the family's 1533-position model. The record is from RNAcentral. Lineage: Bacteria; Bacillati; Actinomycetota; Actinomycetes; Mycobacteriales; Mycobacteriaceae.
UACGUAGGGUGCGAGCGUUGUCCGGAAUUACUGGGCGUAAAGAGCUCGUAGGUGGUUUGUCGCGUUGUUCGUGAAAUCUCACGGCUUAACUGUGAGCGUGCGGGCGAUACGGGCAGACUAGAGUACUGCAGGGGAGACUGGAAUUCCUGGUGUAGCGAUGGAAUGCGCAGAUAUCAGGAGGAACACCGGUGGCGAAGGCGGGUCUCUGGGCAGUAACUGACGCUGAGGAGCGAAAGCGUGGGGAGCGAACAGGAUUAGAUACCCUGGUAGUCCACGCCGUAAACGGUGGGUACUAGGUGUGGGUUUCCUUCCUUGGGAUCCGUGCCGUAGCUAACGCAUUAAGGUACCCCGCCUGGGGAGUACG